GGGGAAUAUUGCACAAUGGGCGAAAGCCUGAUGCAGCAACGCCGCGUGAGUGAAGAAGGUUUUCGGAUUGUAAAGCUCUGUCAUCUGGGACGAUAAUGACGGUACCAGAUGAGGAAGCCACGGCUAACUACGUGCCAGCAGCCGCGGUAAUACGUAGGUGGCAAGCGUUGUCCGGAUUUACUGGGCGUAAAGGAUGUGUAGGCGGAUAUUUAAGUGAGAUGUGAAAUCCCCGGGCGUAACUUGGGGCUGCAUUUCAAACUGGAUGUCUAGAGUGCAGGAGAGGAAAGCAGAAUUCCUAGUGUAGCGGUGAAAUGCGUAGAGAUUAGGAAGAACACCAGUGGCGAAGGCGGUUCUCUGGACUGUAACUGACGCUGAGGCACGAAAGCGUGGGUAGCAAAC
Molecule: ribosomal RNA, 399 nt
Filed under: uncultured bacterium
Lineage: Bacteria
Description: bacterial SSU rRNA
Rfam family: Bacterial small subunit ribosomal RNA
Source: RNAcentral